Molecule: long non-coding RNA, 554 nt
Organism: Salvia miltiorrhiza (redroot sage)
Lineage: Eukaryota; Viridiplantae; Streptophyta; Magnoliopsida; Lamiales; Lamiaceae
Exons: 3
Source: RefSeq, a predicted model, not a curated record
AAUGUCAGUUGGAACAAUUCUCAUUCAUUUAUUAAGGCUUGCUUCCGCCAAUAGCCCCCACGCCAAUUUUAUUUAUUUAUCAAAAGAAAAAUAUUUGGAUCUCUAUCCUCCAAGCCAUUCACCGCCAUGCUUCUUCCUUAACCGCCAUACUUUCCUAAAUUUCAGCUGUAUUUAAAUACUCAAUUUCCCCAUCAUUCCUCCUCCUUUAAACUCAUACGAUACAAAUUUACCCCAGCUAUUCAAUCAAGCUUAUUUCCCUUGUGUGCAGAGGUGCGGCGCGACUAUGACAUGAAUUUUGAUUGAAUUACUUAAGUUAACUUUCAAGUUGAAGUUGGAGUUCAAGUUCAAGUUAAAUCUUCAGGUUAUUGCAGCUGGAGACGCGUGGAAAGUCGAAUGGCCGCCUCAAGUCAUUUUGAAAAUAGUUGAUUUAAGUAUUUAAAGUUUUACUUAAUAGUUAAAUAUUUUCAUGACAUCUAUAUGUCAUGUUUUGGGACAGGAUGUUGAUUGUCGAUUUUAAAUCAAAGAUAUAUAGUAUUUGAAUAUAUUAUUAAAAA